Molecule: long non-coding RNA, 1441 nt
Filed under: Capsicum annuum
Lineage: Eukaryota; Viridiplantae; Streptophyta; Magnoliopsida; Solanales; Solanaceae
Description: long non-coding RNA (CANN_LNC016880)
Source: RNAcentral
GGGCCUUCAUCAUGAACUUCCUCCGAGUAUAAGAUACUUCGGGACAUUUUUCGGUGAAUAAAUAUAAAUGGCCUCGGGGCAUUCCCCGACUAAAUAAAUAUAUUUUUCAGUGCGAGAAAACCAAACCAUUCAACAAAAUUUCAAUCAUUCAACAAAACCAUGAGUCCUAAACUUUGCCUACCCAACAGACGUUUGCCUAUCAACUGUCGACCUAAACAUGAUAUUAUCGAUGUUAGCCAAAAUCGAUAGCUAUUCCAAAUUAAACAAUAAGAAUGAAUCAAAACAAACCAUAUUUGCCUUUUAUGAAUUUUCAAUUCCCAUCUUUAAUUCUCUUUUCAAAUUACCGGUUUCUCCUCCAAAUCAAAAUUAAUCAAACCAUGUCCAAUUUCCUCAUUCAGAUGCAUUCAACCCAUUCAACAUAAUUCCAACAAUUCCACAUGCUCACAAUAACACAUAUUCACGCACUUUUCAUCAGAAGCACACAAAAAAUCAAAUAAAUUUAACGAAGUUAUAAGAGAACAAGAGUAGAAUUGGACUUCAAUUUUUAUUUCAAUUCUAAAUUGUUCGACACCGCCAACGGAUUGGAACCAAAUUCGAAACCUCGACCCAACGAACUCAAUGCGGACCUACCAACUCGAUAAUUGAAUAGAACAGCCGAUUCCAAAAGUGAUUCUCCACGAAGGAAUGGAUUCAUUGUGUUUUCCAGCGAGACAAAGAUGAAAUUAGAAAAUAAGGGCUGUUUGGUCAGCUAUUUCCGGUAACUGUCGGACCGAAACCGAGUUGAUUCAACGGCAUUUUCCGGUGGGUGCAUUCAAACCGUUUGCUCGCUGUUCUCGAAUUGAUUUCAGGUGAGUUUUGGGAUGAUUUGGACGGAAAAUAGGCGCGGGAGCUGAUGGUUGUCGAUGGGAUGUUUUGGUCGGCAGAGAUCACCGGUGAUAGGUCACUGGAAAACAAACUAAACCCACUUUUCUCUCGCUGUUUCUCUGCACCCUCUUCUUUCCCGAUGUUCGAUCUCUCUCUGAAACCCGAUCACUCUCCUACUCCCUCCCCCAUCAUGUACAAUUUCCCCUUUUUGUAAAUAUAGCAUCUGUGUAUUUAUCUUUUUCCAGUGAUUUUUAUGUGUGUGCGUUUUUCCUCUGUGUAUGCGAGUGAGCUGUGUGUGGGUGAUGGGAAUUUCAGUAAAUUGUGAAUUAAUUGUUGGUCCCUUAUUGUUCUGUGAAGAAGGUGUAUACAUUGGUAUUGUGAAUGAAUGUGGUGUCGUGUAUAUCUAUAUCUAAUCCCAAAAUGGAAGAUGAUGGAAUCCCCUAUUUGUACAGCUGAUGGUGUGUGUAUAUAUAUAUAUAUAUAUAUAUUUGUGUUUUGUGAGUUUUUUAGGAAAGAGAAUAAAAUGUGAGAAGGGGUACGGUUCAUGGGAUGGAUAAGGGCAGGUGGGGUAGGGUAG